GGGCAACUGAUUUUGUAGGAGUUCAACUCCACGUACAACAGUAAAUGAUACAUGUAUCUCUUUGUUAAAGUAUUCACCACAGCAUAGCAUUCUCUGAAUUUCAAUAUUUUGAUCAGUUGAAUAAGAAAAUUACGAUUUAGAAAUGCACAUACCUUUUGAAGCGGUGACAAUUACUCCACUCAAGCACAACCGGAAAAUCCUCUCACGGUUUUCA
This 214-nucleotide long non-coding RNA is filed under the name Mytilus galloprovincialis (Mediterranean mussel). Lineage: Eukaryota; Metazoa; Mollusca; Bivalvia; Mytilida; Mytilidae. The record is from RNAcentral.